CGAUAUACUGUCUUACCAUCUAUUAAACAAAUACUUAAGAGAGAAACGUAAAAUGAUCAACAAUAAACUACGAGUGGAUAAUUUGAGGGUAUCAAUCCACAGCAAUAAAAAGGUGCUGCUGGGCCAAAAUUUAAACAAGGGGAUGGGGAGGCAAUGAUAAACAUACAUUUCGUGUCUCAAUAGUCAGGUUUCUUUCGGCUGCGAUAACAUUCCCAUC
This 217-nucleotide long non-coding RNA is filed under the name Eucalyptus grandis. Its description in RNAcentral is "long non-coding RNA (EGRA_LNC007156)". The record is from RNAcentral. Lineage: Eukaryota; Viridiplantae; Streptophyta; Magnoliopsida; Myrtales; Myrtaceae.